RNAcentral lists this ribosomal RNA (405 nucleotides) under Triticum aestivum (bread wheat). RNAcentral describes it as "partial small subunit ribosomal RNA". Lineage: Eukaryota; Viridiplantae; Streptophyta; Magnoliopsida; Poales; Poaceae. The record is from RNAcentral.
AUGAAACACGAGUUGCUGGCCUGCUGCAUGGAGGAGGUGAGGCGAACCCAGUCUGUUCCUCCCUUCAUUGCCCAGUUCAUGGAGAUGGUUGAUGGCAACAACUGCUUCGAAGUCCACCACUGUGAGCUGCUCAAGCCGUCUGUGUCGGUUGCCCUGCUCCGCCGUCUCCCUUUCCCCUUCUGGCGACCCCUCCCUACUUUAUGCAAUUUCUUGAAGGAAUACGAUGACAGGGAGGAGGGCCUGCCUUUUCCUCGGAGAGGAGGUCGACUGUCGGAGUCUUUGUGUGGAAUGAAGCGAAACAGCAGGAAGGAAAUAGAGCGGGUCGUGUGUCAUCGUACACAGUCUGCCUUCCAUUGUGUGAGUACUUGCACUUGGAUCGCCCAAUUGUGUGUGCACAGCAGGUGA